Molecule: transfer RNA, 18 nt
Filed under: Gambelia wislizenii (Longnose leopard lizard)
Lineage: Eukaryota; Metazoa; Chordata; Lepidosauria; Squamata; Crotaphytidae
Description: partial tRNA-Met
Source: RNAcentral
UAAACCCCUCCUCUACUA